CCUACGGGAGGCAGCAGUGGGGAAUAUUGCACAAUGGGGGAAACCCUGAUGCAGCGACGCCGCGUGAGUGAAGAAGUAUCUCGGUACGUAAAGCUCUAUCAGCAGGGAAGAAAAUGACGGUACCUGACUAAGAAGCCCCGGCUAACUACGUGCCAGCAGCCUCGGGAAUACUUAGGGGGCAAGCGUUAUCCGGAUGUACUGGGUGUAAAGGGAGCGUAGACGGCAGCACAAGUCUGGAGUGAAAUCCCGGGGCUUAACCCCGGAACUGCUUUGGAAACUGUGCGGCUGGAGUGCAGGAGGGGGAAGCGGAAUUCCUAGUGUAGCGGUGAAAUGCGUAGAUAUUAGGAGGAACACCGGUGGCGAAGGCGGCUUACUGGACUGUAACUGACGUUGAGGCUCGAAAGCGUGGGGAGCAAACAGGAUUAGAUACCCGAGUAGUC
RNAcentral lists this ribosomal RNA (440 nucleotides) under uncultured bacterium. RNAcentral's name for it is "partial 16S ribosomal RNA". It matches the Rfam family "Bacterial small subunit ribosomal RNA", at positions 338 to 795 of the family's 1533-position model. The record is from RNAcentral.